AUGUCAACUCCUGCGUAUUUGAAUUUUUCAAACAGACUGCCCAGCACACGUAACAAAGUCAGCUUUGUGAAAGGAGCAGCUAUUACUCUUCACCCAAACGCGGAAAUUUAUGACUCCCUGGGCUACACGGCCGGCCGGGUCCGACAGGGUCGACCGGCCAGGAGUGAGCUCGAGGAAGUGCCCUCCUCGCCGCUUCUCCCGCUGCUCCAGCGUGCGCAAUCCACCUGUUGCUUUCCGCCCCGGAUUCUCAUUUCACCCCCGGACUCCCAGCUCCCCAGGCAAAGCCGCGGCCAGCGGAAAGUUCCGGCGGGCCCCAGUGCUCAGGCUGCACCUUACAAUAACAGAAGAAAGUCCUGGAGGCCAAGAGAGGUGACCCAGAACUCCCCAAUUCAUCUGAGCUACAAGGAUCUGUGAAUGUAGAUUACAAGCCAGAAGGUGAUCCACACCCUGGAGAACUUGUUCAUUUUCUGUAUCUGGACUUAUUAAAAGGUUUGUGCACAAGGAAAAGAAACACACUGGAGUCUAGCUUGGAAGAAGCAAGUGGUGAUUUCACUCAAAAAAAUUGGUCUCACCUCCUGUUGGAAUCCAAAAUAAAAGCCUCUCUGACCUACUCA
Molecule: long non-coding RNA, 614 nt
Filed under: Cyanistes caeruleus (blue tit)
Lineage: Eukaryota; Metazoa; Chordata; Aves; Passeriformes; Paridae
Description: lncRNA (ENSCCEG00000012661.1)
Source: RNAcentral